Molecule: ribosomal RNA, 504 nt
Filed under: uncultured bacterium
Lineage: Bacteria
Description: partial 16S ribosomal RNA
Rfam family: Bacterial small subunit ribosomal RNA
Source: RNAcentral
AUUGAACGCUGGCGGCAGGCCUAACACAUGCAAGUCGGACGGUAGCACAGAGAGCUUGCUCUCGGGUGACGAGUGGCGGACGGGUGAGUAAUGUCUGGGGAUCUGCCCGAUAGAGGGGGAUAACCACUGGAAACGGUGGCUAAUACCGCAUAACGUCGCAAGACCAAAGAGGGGGACCUUCGGGCCUCUCACUAUCGGAUGAACCCAGAUGGGAUUAGCUAAUAGGCGGGGUAACGGCCCACCUAGGCGACGAUCCCUAGCUGGUCUGAGAGGAUGACCAGCCACACUGGACCUGAGACACGGUCCAGACUCCUACGGGAGGCAGCAGUGGGGAAUAUUGCACAAUGGGGGCAAGCCUGAUGCAGCCAUGCCGCGUGUAUGAAGAAGGCCUUCGGGUUGUAAAGUACUUUCAGCGGGGAGGAAGGCGAUGUGGUUAAUAACCGCAUUGAUUGACGUUACCCGCAGAAGAAGCACCGGCUAACUCCGUGCCAGCAGCCGCCGUAA